This 367-nucleotide ribosomal RNA is filed under the name uncultured bacterium. RNAcentral describes it as "bacterial SSU rRNA". It matches the Rfam family "Bacterial small subunit ribosomal RNA", at positions 29 to 398 of the family's 1533-position model. The record is from RNAcentral.
AUUGAACGCUGGCGGCAUGCCUUACACAUGCAAGUCGAACGGCAGCGCGGGGCAACCUGGCGGCGAGUGGCGAACGGGUGAGUAAUAUAUCGGAACGUACCCUGGAGUGGGGGAUAACGUAGCGAAAGUUACGCUAAUACCGCAUACGAUCUAAGGAUGAAAGCAGGGGACCGCAAGGCCUUGUGCUCCUGGAGCGGCCGAUAUCUGAUUAGCUAGUUGGUGGGGAAAGGCCUACCAAGGCAUCGAUCAGUAGCUGGUCUGAGAGGGCGGACGGACACACUGGGACUGAGACACGGCCCAGACUCCUACGGGAGGCAGCAGUGGGGAAUUGGUUCGCAAUGGGCGCAAGCCUGACGACGCAACGGCC